AUUUAUUUAGUACAAAAUAAGUACCCUUGAUUUCCAAUCAAAAAGUCUAAAAAUAUUUAGAAUAAAUA
RNAcentral lists this transfer RNA (68 nucleotides) under Creobroter sp. RNAcentral describes it as "tRNA-Gly". The record is from RNAcentral. Lineage: Eukaryota; Metazoa; Arthropoda; Insecta; Mantodea; Hymenopodidae.